RNAcentral lists this ribosomal RNA (396 nucleotides) under uncultured bacterium. RNAcentral describes it as "partial 16S ribosomal RNA". It matches the Rfam family "Bacterial small subunit ribosomal RNA", at positions 355 to 759 of the family's 1533-position model. The record is from RNAcentral.
UGGGGAAUAUUGGACAAUGGGCGAAAGCCUGAUGCAGCAACGCCGCGUGAGGGACGACGGCCUUCGGGUUGUAAACCUCUUUUAGCAAGGAAGAAGCGAAAGUGACGGUACUUGCAGAAAAAAGCGCCGGCUAACUACGUGCCAGCAGCCGCGGUAAUACGUAGGGCGCAAGCGUUAUCCGGAAUUAUUUGGGCGUAAAGAGCUCGUAGGCGGUUUGUCGCGUCUGCUGUGAAAACCCCGAGGCUCAACCUCGGGCCUGCAGUGGGUACGGGCAGACUAGAGUGCGGUAGGGGAGAUUGGAACUCCUGGUGUAGCGGUGGAAUGCGCAGAUAUCAGGAAGAACACCGAUGGCGAAGGCAGAUCUNUGGGCCCGUAACUGACGCUGAGGAGCGAAAA